This is a long non-coding RNA of Dendrobium catenatum, 2303 nucleotides long. RefSeq lists it as uncharacterized. The transcript has 3 exons. The record is from RefSeq and is a predicted model, not a curated record. Lineage: Eukaryota; Viridiplantae; Streptophyta; Magnoliopsida; Asparagales; Orchidaceae.
AAAGUUAUUUUCAUAUUUGUCCACCUUGACAAAUUGUUAUGGAUAAUGGAUGGAUUUUGCUUUAAGUGAUUAAUGAUUGAAUUUUAAUUUUAAAUAUUUUAGAAUUUUGGAGAUUUUGAGUUUUCACGGGCAUUUACGAAUUUGGUAGGCAUUUGAAUAUUUGGAAUUGACCAUCCGAUUGAGAUUUUCUGUCAAUGUGGUAAUCAUCAGGGUAUAUGGGGUCAUUUGAAAAUGUAUGUAUUUUGUAGAAGUUUGAGGGCAUUUGGGAAUAUAUGAUCCCUUCUGGUUGAUAUUUAUAUUCAACAUGGCCAUCAUCGGGGUGUAUAGGAUCAUUGCAUUUUGUUCAUUGAACGCUGUCGACUCUGUUAGUUGCCGACAUAGGAUCAGGUUCAAGUCGUUUGUAUGCUCUUAUUAAUUAUUUUUUAUUGUUAUAGAUCUUGAAGGCCUAACAUGAACUGUAAAAUAAAUAUUUCAUCCGACAACGUGACCGCGUAUUUAUUUAAUGGUUCGAACCGUGUCGACUCCUAUCUACCUGCAUAGAAGGAUCAGGCUCGAACUUGGGCCUAUCAUUUGACCUGUGGAGCAUUCUUAGAUGUCACGUGUGUACCCGUAACACGCUUGUUGGGGCUCAUGCAGGUUGCGGAUCCGGUGAUGUGGCAUUGCAGCUUGUAAAUGCCUUAUGUCUGUUUGUAUGAGUGUUGCAGAUCCGGUGGCGUGGCAUUGUAGAUUAUAGACGUCUUCUAUCUGCUUUUAUGAGUGUUGCAGAUCUAGUAGCAUUACAUUGCACUACGGUCAUCUGCCCAUUUUGUACAGGUAAUUGCAUUCAGUCCAUUUCUCUUCUACUCGCUCACAGACAAUCCAUUGUAUACACGACGAGUUUUCUACCGUAGCCCGUAAGCAUCCGCAUUUGCUAUGGUCCUUUGGAACUUUACUUGUAAGUGACAUUUGAUGUGUACGACGGGUCUCCUACAAAAGCUCAUAGGAACUUACAUCUGUUGCACAUCUUCCUUCUCUACUUGCAAGGGGUUAAAGUAUUUGCUAGAUAUUUACUUAUGCAAGUUUGAAUGCAUUUAUUUGUGUCUUAGCUGACUAUCAGUGGACAACAUUCAUCAUUGAUUCUUCAUGCACGUCAUAGCAGGUUGUACAUAUGAUGGGUCUCUUGUAGUGACUUGUAAAUAUUUGCACUUACUACAAAUCAACCGCCUCUAUCUGCAAGGUUUUGAUAUAUUUGCUUGACAUUCACUGUUGACUGUAGUAAUGUUGUAGUGUUCACUGCAUGUUGCUAAUUAUCACCUAUAAGUAUACUAUUCUGCAUACGAAAGAUCUUCCAUUAUUGCUUGCAAAUGACAACUCACAUGAGUAUCCCUAUGCACUGGAGACUCAUCAUAUCUGGAUCAAAUCUCUUGUUAUCACUUGUAUGCAAGUCAAUGUGUUCAUCUGUGAUUUGUCAUUGAGUACUAGUUGAGCUACAGUCGUCGUUAGUACCUUCAUACAUAUUAGCCAGCGAAUCAUCAUGUUCCUAAGCAGCUUACGAUGUUCAUUGUUUUUCGACUUCUAGUGUUUGUAGAAAACUACUGUAUUCAUCUUCGAGCUGGUUGUCAUUGAUUGAAGGGAAGCUUUGGUCUUCAUUUCAUAUACUUCAUAGGUUCUUAAUGAAUAUGUUAUCCAUGAUCAAGGUGAUUUGUAUACUCUUAUGUUAUAUGCUCCCUUUAGAUUGAUUGUAGCCUGCUAACAUUAGCUCAUAAGCAUGUGUUUAGCAAUUUUUCAUGAUUCUUCUGAUUACUCAUUGGUCUUCAUAUUGUUUGUUGCCUCUGGAUGGGAUGUAGACUUCUCAUCCACCGUGAGUCAUUAUUUAUAAGCAAGUCGUUACAUCCCCAGUUUGAUUUGUUAAUGCUCAUUUGCUUGAUUAGACUUGUCAUUUGGUUGAAAGAAGUUUAUUUGAAUGCAAUCAUCUUAAGCAAAUUAUAUUGAAGUUCACAAAUCCUUGUUCAUUUAAUUCAAGUUUUGUAGUUUUGUUUGUAGUCAAGUCCCCUGCAGGUAGUUCAAGUUCAAGUUCAAAUCAAGUUCUUCUUGGUUGAGCUUGAUUCAAGUCCUUUGUUGUCCAAAUCAAGCUUGAGUUAAUGUUCAGUUUGUUUCAUUUGAGUUCAAUUCCUGUUCAAGUUUGAGUCCAAGAUCAUUUUUUAGUCUUUUUAUAUUUAUUCAAGUCUAGUCCUCUGCAUUUAGUUUAAUUCAGGUCCUCUGUUCAGUGCAAAUUUCGGCAGUCUUCUGGCGUCUCCCCUUUUUAUGAGAAAUUUCAAGAGUUA